UUUUUUUGUUUGUGAAAAAUUAAAUUAUCAAAAUAAUUAUGUUUGGAUUAAAAUUAUUAUUAUUUACACUUAUUUUAUUGACAUCAACAUCACUAACAAUGGGCGAUCCAUGUUUGCCAUUUAAUCCAUGCAAAAAUAAUAGUCAUUGUAAAAUAACUGGUAAAACUACAUUUGUUUGUGAAUGUCUACCUGGAUAUAUAGGGCGUUAUUGUGAACAAGUAGUUAAUACUACUACUACUAGUGUAAAUCUAAACCAGUGAUUAAACAGUAAUUGUCAUCAUGAAUAAAUAAUAUUUGAUUUUAAUAUAAAUAUUAUAUAUGU
Oppia nitens is the source of this 322-nucleotide long non-coding RNA. RefSeq lists it as uncharacterized. Lineage: Eukaryota; Metazoa; Arthropoda; Arachnida; Sarcoptiformes; Oppiidae. The transcript is spliced from 3 exons. The record is from RefSeq and is a predicted model, not a curated record.